Molecule: long non-coding RNA, 69 nt
Organism: Dreissena polymorpha
Lineage: Eukaryota; Metazoa; Mollusca; Bivalvia; Myida; Dreissenidae
Exons: 2
Source: RefSeq, a predicted model, not a curated record
CUACAGUGUAGAGUGCACUGAAAUCACCGAAGCGUGCAACUAGAAUGGAUGGUGGCAAUUAUCUGGGCC